Molecule: ribosomal RNA, 484 nt
Filed under: uncultured bacterium
Lineage: Bacteria
Description: partial 16S ribosomal RNA
Rfam family: Bacterial small subunit ribosomal RNA
Source: RNAcentral
AUUGAACGCUGGCGGCAGGCCUAACACAUGCAAGUCGAGCGGAUGAAGGGAGCUUGCUCCUGGAUUCAGCGGCGGACGGGUGCGUAAUGCCUAGGAAUCUGCCUGGUAGUGGGGGAUAACGUCCGGAAACGGGCGCUAAUACCGCAUACGUCCUGAGGGAGAAAGUGGGGGAUCUUCGUACCUCACGCUAUCAGAUGAGCCUAGGUCGGAUUAGCUAGUUGGUGGGGUAAAGGCCUACCAAGGCGACGAUCCGUAACUGGUCUGAGAGGAUGAUCAGUCACACUGGAACUGAGACACGGUACAGACUCCUACGGGAGGCAGCAGUGGGGAAUAUUGGAGCAUGGGCGAAAGCCUGAUCCAGCCAUGCCGCGUGUGUGAAGAAGGUCUUCGGAUGGUAAAGCACUUUAAGUUGGGAGGAAGGGCAGUAAGUUAAUACCUUGCUGUUUUGACGUUACCAACAGAAUAAGCACCGGCUAACUUCGUG